AGCGAACGCUGGCGGCAGGCUUAACACAUGCAAGUCGAGCGGGCGUAGCAAUACGUCAGCGGCAGACGGGUGAGUAACGCGUGGGAACAUACCUUUUGGUUCGGAACAACACAGGGAAACUUGUGCUAAUACCGGAUAAGCCCUUACGGGGAAAGAUUUAUCGCCGAAAGAUUGGCCCGCGUCUGAUUAGCUAGUUGGUGAGGUAAUGGCUCACCAAGGCGACGAUCAGUAGCUGGUCUGAGAGGAUGAUCAGCCACAUUGGGACUGAGACACGGCCCAAACUCCUACGGGAGGCAGCAGUGGGGAAUAUUGGACAAUGGGCGCAAGCCUGAUCCAGCCAUGCCGCGUGAGUGAUGAAGGCCCUAGGGUUGUAAAGCUCUUUUGUGCGGGAAGAUAAUGAC
Molecule: ribosomal RNA, 401 nt
Filed under: uncultured bacterium
Lineage: Bacteria
Description: bacterial SSU rRNA
Rfam family: Bacterial small subunit ribosomal RNA
Source: RNAcentral